UACGUAGGGUGCAAGCGUUGUCCGGAAUUAUUGGGCGUAAAGAGCUCGUAGGCGGUUUGUUGCGUCGGCUGUGAAAUCCCGAGGCUCAACCUCGGGUCUGCAGUCGAUACGAGCAAACUAGAGUGUUGCAGGGGAGACUGGAAUUCCUGGUGUAGCGGUGAAAUGCGCAGAUAUCAGGAGGAACACCCGGUGGGCGAAGGCGGGUCUCUGGGCA
RNAcentral lists this ribosomal RNA (214 nucleotides) under uncultured bacterium. Its description in RNAcentral is "partial 16S ribosomal RNA". It matches the Rfam family "Bacterial small subunit ribosomal RNA", at positions 524 to 735 of the family's 1533-position model. The record is from RNAcentral.